Molecule: ribosomal RNA, 459 nt
Filed under: uncultured bacterium
Lineage: Bacteria
Description: partial 16S ribosomal RNA
Rfam family: Bacterial small subunit ribosomal RNA
Source: RNAcentral
CCUACGGGUGGCAGCAGUGAGGAAUAUUGGUCAAUGGGCGGAAGCCUGAACCAGCCAAGUAGCGUGCGGGAUGAAGGCCCUACGGGUCGUAAACCGCUUUUGCACGGGGAUAACACCCUCCACUUGUGGAGGUCUGCAGGUGCCGUGCGAAUAAGGGCCGGCUAAUUCCGUGCCAGCAGCCGCGGUAAUACGGAGUGCCCGAGCGUUAUCCGGAUUCAUUGGGCUUAAAGGUAUCGUAGGCGGGCGUUCAAGUCAGCUGUAAAAUCGCGGGGCUCAAUCGCGCCACGCAGUUGAAACUGGACGGAUUGAGUUAACAGCAGGCAGGCGGAAUUCGUGGUGUAGCGGUGAAAUGCAUAGAUAUCACGAGGAACCCCGAUUGCGAAGGCAGCCUGCCGGGGUGCGACUGACGCUGAGGCUCGAAGGUGCGGGUAUCAAACAGGAUUAGAUACCCGAGUAGUC